Molecule: transfer RNA, 81 nt
Organism: Planktothrix tepida PCC 9214
Lineage: Bacteria; Bacillati; Cyanobacteriota; Cyanophyceae; Oscillatoriales; Microcoleaceae
Rfam family: tRNA
About the family: Transfer RNA (tRNA) molecules are approximately 80 nucleotides in length. Their secondary structure includes four short double-helical elements and three loops (D, anti-codon, and T loops). Further hydrogen bonds mediate the characteristic L-shaped molecular structure. tRNAs have two regions of fundamental functional importance: the anti-codon, which is responsible for specific mRNA codon recognition, and the 3' end, to which the tRNAs corresponding amino acid is attached (by aminoacyl-tRNA synthetases). tRNAs cope with the degeneracy of the genetic code in two manners: having more than one tRNA (with a specific anti-codon) for a particular amino acid; and 'wobble' base-pairing, i.e. permitting non-standard base-pairing at the 3rd anti-codon position.
Source: Rfam
GCGGAUGUGGCGGAAUUGGUAUACGCGCACGUUUGAGGGGCGUGUGGGCUUCCCUUGCGAGUUCGAGUCUCGCCAUCCGCA